UGAGUAACCUACCCUUAACUCUGGGAUAAGCCUGGGAAACUGGGUCUAAUACCGGAUAUGACUCCUCAUCGCAUGGUGGGGGGUGGAAAGCUUUAUUGUGGUUUUGGAUGGACUCGCGGCCUAUCAGCUUGUUGGUGAGGUAAUGGCUACACGAGCGACGG
This 161-nucleotide ribosomal RNA is filed under the name uncultured bacterium. RNAcentral describes it as "partial 16S ribosomal RNA". It matches the Rfam family "Bacterial small subunit ribosomal RNA", at positions 118 to 279 of the family's 1533-position model. The record is from RNAcentral.